CCUACGGGUGGCAGCAGUGGGGAAUAUUGGGCAAUGGGCGCAAGCCUGACCCAGCAACGCCGCGUGAAGGAAGAAGGCUUUCGGGUUGUAAACUUCUUUUCUGAGGGACGAAGAAAGUGACGGUACCUCAGGAAUAAGCCACGGCUAACUACGUGCCAGCAGCCGCGGUAAUACGUAGGUGGCAAGCGUUAUCCGGAUUUAUUGGGUGUAAAGGGCGUGUAGGCGGGAAAGCAAGUCAGAUGUGAAAACUCAGGGCUCAACCCUGAGCCUGCAUUUGAAACUGUUUUUCUUGAGUGCUGGAGAGGCAAUCGGAAUUCCGUGUGUAGCGGUGAAAUGCGUAGAUAUACGGAGGAACACCAGUGGCGAAGGCGGAUUGCUGGACAGUAAUUGACGCUGAGGAACGAAAGCCAGGGUAGCAAAUGGGAUUAGAUACCCUUGUAGUC
RNAcentral lists this ribosomal RNA (443 nucleotides) under uncultured bacterium. Its description in RNAcentral is "partial 16S ribosomal RNA". It matches the Rfam family "Bacterial small subunit ribosomal RNA", at positions 338 to 795 of the family's 1533-position model. The record is from RNAcentral.